Molecule: ribosomal RNA, 492 nt
Filed under: uncultured bacterium
Lineage: Bacteria
Description: partial 16S ribosomal RNA
Rfam family: Bacterial small subunit ribosomal RNA
Source: RNAcentral
AUUGAACGCUGGCGGCAUGCUUUACACAUGCAAGUCGAACGGUAACAGGCCUUCGGGUGCUGACGAGUGGCGAACGGGUGAGUAAUGCAUCGGAACGUACCCAGAGGUGGGGGAUAACGCAGCGAAAGCUGUGCUAAUACCGCAUGUGAUCUGAGGAUGAAAGCGGGGGACCGAGCAGCAAUGUUUGGCCUCGCGCCUUUGGAGCGGCCGAUGUCGGAUUAGCUAGUUGGUGGGGUAAAGGCCUACCAAGGCGACGAUCCGUAGCUGGUCUGAGAGGACGACCGGCCACACUGGGACUGAGACACGGCCCAGGCUCCUACGGGAGGCAGCAGUGGGGAAUUUUGGACAGUGGGCGCAAGCCUGGUCCAGCGAUGCCGCGUGCGGGGAAAAGGCCUUCGGGUUGUAAAGCGCUUUUGGCAGGAACGAAACGGUGUCCGCUAAUACCGGGCGCUAGUGACGGUACCUGCAGAAUAAGCACCGGCUAACUACGUG